AUAUAUAUAUACUGGAUUUGAAAUGAAACCUAUAAGACAUUUUUCUGCAAAGCGUCUUCAUUUCAGGGGCUCAAAAGUAGUUGGACAAAUGAUCUCAAAAUGUACAGGCUUUUAUGGGCUGCAUGGAUGUAGGGCUGGUAGAGGUGUAUAGUGUAUGAAUAUAGGGCUGGUAGAGGUGUAUAGUGUAUGUAUAUAGGGCUGGUAGAGGUGUAUAGUGUAUGAAUAUAGGGCUGGUAGAGGUGUAAAGGGCAUGUAUAUAGGGCUGGUAGAGGUGUAUAGUGUAUGAAUAUAGGGCUGGUAGAGGUGUAUAGUGUAUGUAUAUAGGGCUGGUAGAGGUGUAUAGUGUAUGUAUAUAGGGCUGGUAGAGGUGUAUAGUGUAUGAAUAUAGGGCUGGUAGAGGUGUAUAGUGUAUGUAUAUAGGACUGGUAAAGGUGUAUAGUGUAUGUAUAUAGGGCUGGUAGAGGUGUAUAGGGCAUGUAUAUAGGGCUGGUAGAGGUGUAUAGUGUAUGUAUAUAGGGCUGGUAGAGGUGUAUAGUGUAUGAAUAUAGGGCUGGUAGAGGUGUAUAGUGUAUGUAUAUAGGACUGGUAAAGGUGUAUAGUGUAUGUAUAUAGGGCUGGUAGAGGUGUAUAGGGCAUGUAUAUAGGGCUGGUAGAGGUGUAUAGUGUAUGAAUAUAGGGCUGGUAGAGGUGUAUAGUGUAUGUAUAUAGGGCUGGUAGAGGUGUAUAGUGUAUGUAUAUAGGACUGGUAGAGGUGUAUAGUGUAUGUAUAUAGGACUGGUAGAGGUGUAUAGUGUAUGAACAUAGGGCUGGUAAAGAUGUAUAGGGCAUGUAAAUAGGG
Long non-coding RNA from Astyanax mexicanus (Mexican tetra), 838 nucleotides. RefSeq lists it as uncharacterized. Lineage: Eukaryota; Metazoa; Chordata; Actinopteri; Characiformes; Acestrorhamphidae. The transcript is spliced from 3 exons. The record is from RefSeq and is a predicted model, not a curated record.